UAGCACGACGCUCUCGUACGCAAAGCUGAGCUGACGGCUAUAUCUGCUCCAAAUUCCACAUAGAAAAUUGCGAGAGCAGCACUGCAGCAGCCGGCGGCGGCCAUACCCAGGGAAUCUCCGGAGCUGGUUUCGUGGAACAAUGGUCCAAUACGCCGUGGUGGACGCCUUCGCGGCGGAGCCGUUCAAGGGCAACCCAGCCGCGGUGUGCCUACUCGAGGACGCCGCUAAGGCCGCGGACGAGCGUUGGAUGCAGUCCGUCGCUGCCGAGUUCAACCUCUCCGAGACCGCCUUCCUCUUCCGCGACUCCUCCGCCGGCGCCACCCCACGGUUCCAGCUCCGAUGGUUCACCCCUGCCGCCGAGGUGGAGCUCUGCGGGCACGCGACGCUGGCCUCCGCUCACUUCCUCUUCACCUCCAUCCUCGCGGAGCACGACGCAGUCGUCGAGUUCGCGACCAAGUCCGGGAUUCUCGCCGCCAAGAAGGUUCCUGCACCGGAGAGCACGGGCGUGUCAGGUGAGGGGAAGCUGUUCAUCGAGCUGGAUUUCCCCAUGAUCGAUCUCUACGAGUGCGAUAACGCCGAGCUGCUGACCAUCCUCAAGACUUUGAACGGAGCUUCCGUCGUCAGCGUCCACAAAUCGGCGACCGUCGGUGACCUCAUCGUGGAACUUUCCUCAGCAAAAGAGGUCGCCGAUAUCAUUCCUGACAUCAAUGAAAUUAAAAAAUGUUCCGGCGGAGGAGUUGUUGUUACGGGACCAGCGCCUGCUGGAUCUGGUUAUGACUUCUUCACACGUUUCUUCUGCCCAAAAUUUGGCAUAGAUGAGGUGAUGUUGCAAUUUUUGUCCCAAGCUGUAUCUUCAGAGAUCCUGUUUGUGGUAGUGUACAUUGUGUUUUAGCACCCUACUGGGGUGGGAAGCUGAAGAAACAAAAGCUGACAGCGUUUCAGGCAUCUCCAAGGAGCGGAAUAUUAUACCUGCAAUUGGAAGCUGCAUCCAGGAGAGUGCGAAUUCAGGGAGAGGCUGUCACUGUGAUGACUGGUACCCUCUUAGCCUAGCAUCUCCCCGUGUAUGCUUUGAAAUCUGAAGGACGAGGGUCGACGAACCUACAGGCAAUUCUAUUUGCUGCUGUCGGCUUGUGAAAAAUUAUUAAUUUAUGGAAAUAAAAGCUUCUGAACUUUUCUGGGGCAUCAAAAUAAAGUGGCAGUUUGUAAAUUCAUGCUUACCAGCUCAUUUUGGUUUGUCAUUUCUCAAUGUACUGUAGCCGAGAGUUUUGGAGUAUAUGCUACCUUGUUUGAGUUUCUUGUCAUGUUUUGAAAUGUGAAAGUGAAUGCAAUACAAGAUGAUUAGGAAUUUAAACUGAA
RNA transcript from Phragmites australis (common reed), 1356 nucleotides. RefSeq lists it as uncharacterized. The record is from RefSeq and is a predicted model, not a curated record. The transcript is spliced from 6 exons. Lineage: Eukaryota; Viridiplantae; Streptophyta; Magnoliopsida; Poales; Poaceae.